Molecule: transfer RNA, 76 nt
Filed under: Opitutales bacterium
Lineage: Bacteria; Pseudomonadati; Verrucomicrobiota; Opitutia; Opitutales
Also listed under: 1 other name
Description: tRNA-Thr
Rfam family: tRNA
About the family: Transfer RNA (tRNA) molecules are approximately 80 nucleotides in length. Their secondary structure includes four short double-helical elements and three loops (D, anti-codon, and T loops). Further hydrogen bonds mediate the characteristic L-shaped molecular structure. tRNAs have two regions of fundamental functional importance: the anti-codon, which is responsible for specific mRNA codon recognition, and the 3' end, to which the tRNAs corresponding amino acid is attached (by aminoacyl-tRNA synthetases). tRNAs cope with the degeneracy of the genetic code in two manners: having more than one tRNA (with a specific anti-codon) for a particular amino acid; and 'wobble' base-pairing, i.e. permitting non-standard base-pairing at the 3rd anti-codon position.
Source: RNAcentral
GCCACCCUAGCUCAGUUGGUAGAGCAGCUCAUUCGUAAUGAGCAGGUCGUCGGUUCGAAUCCGAUGGGUGGCUCCA